CAAUAGCGUAUUGUAAAGUUGUUGCAGUUAAAAAGCUCGUAGUUGGAUUUCGGGCUCGACGGCGACGGUCAGCCGCAAGGUAUGUCACUGUCGACGUUGGCCUUCUUCGCGCAGACUUCGCGUGCUCUUAACUGAGUGUGCGUUGGAUACGCGACGUUUACUUUGAAAAAAUUAGAGUGUUCAAAGCAGGCUUGUGCUUGGAUACAUAAGCAUGGAAUAAUGGAAUAGGACUUUGGUUCUAUUUUCCGUUGGUUUCUGGAACCGAAGUAAUGAUUAAUAGGGACAGUUGGGGGCAUUCGUAUUUCGUUGUCAGAGGUGAAAUUCUUGGAUUUACGAAAGACGAACUAAUGCGAAAGCAUUUGCCAAGAAUGUUUUCAUUAAUCAAGAACGAAAGUUAGAGGAU
RNAcentral lists this ribosomal RNA (403 nucleotides) under Cnidaria sp. MM00716. RNAcentral describes it as "SSU rRNA". It matches the Rfam family "Eukaryotic small subunit ribosomal RNA", at positions 592 to 998 of the family's 1831-position model. Lineage: Eukaryota; Metazoa; Cnidaria. The record is from RNAcentral. RNAcentral also lists the same sequence under 1 other name.